UUGUAUAAAAAGGGGGUUAUAAGGGCUGUCGCUGACUUUUCAUAGUCGUGCACGCCUGAGUGCCCCUCAUUACAUCCAUUUCACCCCUUGUGCACAACCGCGUGGGUCCUUCUCUUUUUGGCUUGUUCCAGAAGGGGAGGGGGCUUGCGUUUUAACAUAAACACCCCUUUGAAUUCAGUGUAGAAUGUCUUUAACAAUGUGAUUAAUA
RNAcentral lists this unclassified non-coding RNA (208 nucleotides) under uncultured Russulaceae. RNAcentral describes it as "sequence contains ITS1". The record is from RNAcentral. Lineage: Eukaryota; Fungi; Basidiomycota; Agaricomycetes; Russulales; Russulaceae.